GAUGAACGCUGGCGGCGUGCCUAAUACAUGCAAGUCGAGCGAACAGACGAGGAGCUUGCUCCUCUGACGUUAGCGGCGGACGGGUGAGUAACACGUGGAUAACCUACCUAUAAGACUGGGAUAACUUCGGGAAACCGGAGCUAAUACCGGAUAACAUGUUGAACCGCAUGGUUCAACAGUGAAAGACGGUCUUGCUGUCACUUAUAGAUGGAUCCGCGCCGCAUUAGCUAGUUGGUAAGGUAACGGCUUACCAAGGCAACGAUGCGUAGCCGACCUGAGAGGGUGAUCGGCCACACUGGAACUGAGACACGGUCCAGACUCCUACGGGAGGCAGCAGUAGGGAAUCUUCCGCAAUGGGCGAAAGCCUGACGGGGCAACGCCGCGGGAGUGAAGAAGGUCUUCGGAUCGUAAAACUCUGUUAUUAGGGAAGAACAAAUGUGUAAGUAACUAUGCACGUCUUGACGGUACCUAAUCAGAAAGCCACGGCUAACUACGU
Molecule: ribosomal RNA, 496 nt
Filed under: uncultured bacterium
Lineage: Bacteria
Description: partial 16S ribosomal RNA
Rfam family: Bacterial small subunit ribosomal RNA
Source: RNAcentral